Molecule: non-coding RNA, 453 nt
Organism: Maylandia zebra (zebra mbuna)
Lineage: Eukaryota; Metazoa; Chordata; Actinopteri; Cichliformes; Cichlidae
Source: RefSeq, a predicted model, not a curated record
UGUAAACGGAGGGGGAGGAGAAAGCAGCCGCUGAUGGGGCAGUGUGAGGGCGCAGGAAGCAGAAACGUCGAGCCUGGAGCAGGGGUGACCACUGGCCUGAACCACCUCUGAUCAGCUUUUCUGGAACUGAAAACUCGAUGUUUCCCCUCAGCUCAGAGCUUGGGGUCAAACAAAGGCCCUGAGCUCACAGUCACCUCUCAUACUAAAGUGUAGAAAAUGAAUAAUUGUGUGGAAAAUGAGAAGGACGGCGCCGACUCUUCACAAUGUAACAGUAAGCAGUCCAAAGCAGAUCCACUGGCCUUCAGUAAUGAACCCAGAGCCUUGGACACAAAAGAGAGGAGAAGUAAUAGGAGUGGUGUUUGUGAGGAGGAGCAGCCGUCCUGCUGUGCUUUGUGUCAGGACAUCCUGAAGGAUCCAGUCUCUACCAGCUGUGGACACUGGUUCUGCAGACAG